UCGAACUCGGAAAACUCAUACUCACUCACCAACCUUCACUCGUCAUCCACGUACUCGUCGCCACCCCACCUUACCGAGCUGAUUCAACAGCUCCAUACAUCACUUCUUUCUCUGCAACUUUCCCUUCCAUCAUCUUCCACCACCUUCCUCCGGUCACCCUCUCGCCCUCCCUCGCGCCUCGCCAUCACGAAACUCUCACUUUCGAAACCCUCCGUCUGAACAAUCCUAACGUCCACCAAACCCUUCUCUCCAUCUCCCAGAAUUUUA
This 267-nucleotide long non-coding RNA is filed under the name Carica papaya (papaya). Its description in RNAcentral is "long non-coding RNA (CPAP_LNC012582)". Lineage: Eukaryota; Viridiplantae; Streptophyta; Magnoliopsida; Brassicales; Caricaceae. The record is from RNAcentral.